This 2758-nucleotide long non-coding RNA is filed under the name Citrus sinensis (sweet orange). RNAcentral describes it as "long non-coding RNA (CSIN_LNC003198)". Lineage: Eukaryota; Viridiplantae; Streptophyta; Magnoliopsida; Sapindales; Rutaceae. The record is from RNAcentral.
CUUCAAGGUUUACAAUAAAAAACAAAAUCAAGCCAUAAAUGGACAAAUAACCUAAAAAUUAUUAUUUAAUAACUUGUAAUCAACCUAGGAAAAAGAAAAAUUAAAUCAAAACCCACAUGCAUUUGCAUUUAUGCUACCCAAAUUUACCCCACAUAUAUUCCAUUUAACCCGAAUUACAACAUAAAUAAUUUCUUCAUGCAAUUUCUACAGCAAACUCAUUCAAUUUUUAUGUAUACCCAUUCAAUUUCUGCACCCAACUUAAAGAACGAAUUUAAAAAGACUCAAAAGUAUUUACCUUGCAAGACCUGUGAACUGCUUGUGGUGAUGGUGAAAUGAUGAAAGAACGAUGCGAAACAAUGACAAAAGGAUGGUGAAAUAACAGCAUACGACGGAGAAACAGGAAAUUUCGAUUAAAUGAGUGAGGAUUUUGGUAGAAUGUCUAUUGAACGGCAGAGUGUUGACUGCAUGAGUGAGGGUUCGAUCUAGGGUUUCAAUAGUCUUACGAAUCUGGCCCAUCAUUCUUGAUGUUCUCAAAGGCCACUCGGUCGGCCCAUGUGGAGAAUUUUCAGAGGACUAACCAAACCAGCUUCCCAAAAAUUUGUAAUCCAAAGUUAUAGUUUUGACAAUUUUGUACUAGUGUUGCAUCUUAAUCUUGUUGACUUAUUCCUUCUUUAGUUUUUGUAAAAACUAAGAAAUCAUUUGGAUAAACAUAAAAAAAAACUAAAAUCUCUAAAGAUUGAGUUUGUUGUACAGGUACAUCCCUAACAUUUAUAAACUCUUGAAAUAAAAGUUAAAAAAUAAAUAAAAUUUCCGCCGCCGGGAUUUGAACCCGGAUUUCAUGUCAUUGAAAUUGCCUUAGUGCUACGGCGGAUUUACUACUUUCUUGUUGAAGGUUUUUUCAAUUUUAUUUUAUAUAAAAACUUUAGAAUCCACUAGCUAAGUUUAUCAUCGCAUAUGAUCAGCACUAGAUUAUCAAAUAAUCAUAAAAGUAUGAAUGGAAAAAUCCUCCACGGGUUUGGGACCCCAUGGAGCCCCAUCCCAAAUGAGAAAAAAUUUUGAAUCAUUUUUGGGGAACAUGGUGGGGGAGUGGGGGAAAAAUAAUCCCCAAAUUCUUAACUAAGAUGAGGUGAUUUUGGCAAAAAUGAUUUUUUAAAAAGUUUACCAAAUACCAAAAUUACCUUUUAGAUUUUCAUAAUCACUUUUAAGUCUCCCAAAAAUAAUCUCAAAUGAGCCCUUAGUCUCCAAUUUUAUCAUUGAUGGGAGACAAUAAAAAAAUACUCUACUGCCAUGCUUUGAACCCAAAUUUCAGCAAUUGAAAUUACGCUUUGUGUGCUACAAGAAAGUUAAAUACUUUAUUAUUAACAAUUCUAUAAUUUUAUAUUGAAUACCACAAAAAAAAACCACGAUGAAUAUAAAUAAAUGCUGAUAGGCAUUUGCGUUCAGUAACAAUAAUUGGCAAUAUUAGAAACUAUAAUAAUAAUAAUAAUAAUAAUAAUAAUAGUAAUAAUAAUAAUAAUAAUAAUAAGGGGGAUUGUCACUUUCUCACCUACAGUAAUCAACAUAUACCAUUUACCUUUCUACUGUUUUUAUAAUGGUCAAAAACUUCACUAACAGCAUAAGUUUACAAUAAUAAUAAUAAGAGUGGGACUACUGCCAUCCUUCAUUGAUCUUAUAAAUUUUAACCCACAUAUAAACCCACACAUAAGCAUUGUACACUUUUUUUUUUUUUUAAAUAACCAGAGAACUUGUUACUUUGAAGGGUUUGGGAUUAAAUAGAGUGCCAAUUUUUCAACAUUAGAGGAGUGCCACUGCUUCAUUGACCUUAUAAAAUACUUAAUUCCAAUAGUUACAGUGAAGGACAAAAUAUAAAUUUAAAUAAUCGCUAUGCUUUUCUUAAAAAUAAAAUAAAAUAAAAUAAAAUUUCUCUUUCACAACACUAUUUAUCCACGGAAACGGUAAACCCACAUGAGAUUAAGGUGAGCGCUAAUUUUUCAGAAUUAUUUAAUGGACGUUGGAGGGUGCUAAUAGUCCAAGUCUAAUAAUAACAAUAGUCUUACGAAUCUGGCCCAUCAGUCUUGAGAACACUGAGGCCACUCGGUCGGCCCAUGUGGAGAAUUUUCAGAGGACUAACCAAACCAGCUUCCCAAAAAUUUGUAAUCCAAAAUUAUGGUUUUGACAAUUUUGUACCAGUGUUGCAUCUUAAUCUUGUUGACUUAUUCCUUCUUUAGUUUUUGUAAGAACUCAUUUGGACAAACGAAAAAAAAAAAAAAAAACUAAAAUCUCUAAAGAUUGAGUUUGUUGUACAGGUAGAUCCCUAACAUUUAUAAACUCUUGAAAUAAAAGUUAAAAAACAAAUAAAAUUUCCGCCGCCGGGAUUUGAACCCGGAUUUCAUGUGAGUAAAAUUGCCUGAGUGCUACGGCGGACUUACUACUUUCUUAUUGAAGGCAUUUACAAUUUAAUUUUAUAUAAAAACUUUAGAAUCUACUAGCUAAGUUUAUCAUCACAUAUCAUCAGCACUAGAUUAUCAAAUAAUCAUAAAAGCAUAUAAAUUCAAUUACAAAAGCUGCUGGGUCAACCCAUGUAGAGAAUUUUCUGAGCCCUAACCAAACUUUGCAAGGCAGGUUUUCACGUGAUACAAGAAAAUUUGUAAUGCGUAAGUUAUAAUUUUUGUACAACUCUGGCAUCUUAUGGAAUUAUUCCUUCUUCAAUUUUUGUGAAAAAUUAUUAGAAAAAUUGGAAAAUCGACACUAAAAUCUC